GACAAACAGAUCAAGCUAAAAUUAAUAAUAGUAUAAAAGGGGGUUAAGAGUUGUUGAAAUUGGAAAGUAAUGCUUUUUAUGGGGGUAGAAUUUGUGUAAGAAGAGAUAAUUUUUGUUUUCCUUAAUUUUUGAGGCCUCGAAAUUUUGUUAUGAGACCGGGAUUAGAUACCCCGUUAUUCAAAAUGUAAACGUUGAUUAAUGUAUGAAAUUGAUUUACUUGAGUAUUACGAGUGAUAAGAGUAAGGCUUAUUUAUUACUUAAAACUCAAAAAACUUGGCGGUGCCUUAUAUCCUUCCAGGGGAACCUGUCCUAUAAUCGAUAGUCCACGUUUUAACUUUCUUUUUUUUGAAUUAACAGUUUGUAUACCGUCGUCGUCGGGUUACCUUUAAGAGUUGUGAAGUUAUCAGCAGGAGGAAAAUAUAUGGAUUUAAGUUUAAUUAGAUAUUUAUAUGUUUAUUUCUAGACGUCAGAUCAAGGUGCAGCUUAUAAAAAAGAAGAGAUGGGUUACAGUAAUUAAGUUAUUAUUACGGAUCUUUGUUGUAAAUGAGCACAGUUGAAGGAGGACUUGGAAGUAAUUAUAAAAUAAGAUAGUUUUAAUGAAAAUAGGCUCUGAGGUGCGC
RNAcentral lists this ribosomal RNA (620 nucleotides) under Ilanga sp. 6 LS-2013. Its description in RNAcentral is "partial 12S ribosomal RNA". Lineage: Eukaryota; Metazoa; Mollusca; Gastropoda; Trochida; Solariellidae. The record is from RNAcentral.